GGAAUCGAGGCAAGGGAAAGAGAGACCCAAAGGGGAGGAUCUAGAUGGCUCCAGCCAGAAAGGGUCCAAACUAAAUCCUGUUUGAGAAGAGAGGUAGCUGUUGUGGCAGAGUCUCAGAGGAGGUAUUUUGGGGGAUUCCAGAAAGAAGACAAGUCUCAGCUGGAUGGGCUCUUGGCUCCCACUCCCAGAAAACCACCUUCCCUCUUCACUUCCCAGACUGGAAGUAACACCUCCAGUCUGUUGACUUCAAAGAUCCCACCAGCUCUCAGAACUCACAGCAUUCUCUCCCCUUCCUCUGCUGCUUCUCUGGCUGAUCUGUCAAUCCAUCUGGCAUCUGUCUUCCUUACCUUACAGGGAGCCACAGCAAACACACACAUCCAGACUUGGGACUUCCCGGGAGAGCUCCCCACGAUGCCUGAGAAGCUCAAGGGCAGCCAGCCAGCAGAGAAAACUUGUAAAAUGAACAGCUGGCCACAUGUCAUUGAUUGUGUCACUUUCUUGAGAGAAAACCACUACAGCUUCAAAUUGUAUGUGGAAGGGUCUUUUGAAAAGUACCUGGAAAGGUUGGGACAUUCACAGGAAAGUGCUGGACAGCUGGAAUUAAGAACAUUUAUAAGGGCCAUCUUGAUUGCCAUAUAUACCAUCAUCCACCAUGCAGAAGGCUAGAAGGAGACCCUGGGACCCAAACUUCUGCCCAAGAUUUGCAGCUGAAUGGGACAGUAAAUGUCAAGAUCAAUCCUUUCAUUUAUACAUGAGGAAGGCUCAGAAAAAUUAAAUGACUUCCUCCUCAAACCAGUAAGUAGCAAAGCAAAUAUUUGAAUAUAGCAACUGAAAUGACUGAAAAGCAACAACUCUCACUCAAACCAGGGGAACUUUCAACUCUACUUACUUGUCUUCUACACAUUGCCUUUUGUAAGGAACAUUCUUUACAAUCUUUAUACUCUCUGCCAAUAAUUUUUGUAUUUGUAUAUUGUCAAUAAACAAAGCACUGAGUAUUUAUUGACUGAUCA
Molecule: long non-coding RNA, 1010 nt
Filed under: Monodelphis domestica (gray short-tailed opossum)
Lineage: Eukaryota; Metazoa; Chordata; Mammalia; Didelphimorphia; Didelphidae
Description: lncRNA (ENSMODG00000034789.2)
Source: RNAcentral